This 90-nucleotide microRNA precursor is filed under the name Vicugna pacos (alpaca). RNAcentral's name for it is "miRNA (ENSVPAG00000016157.1)". Lineage: Eukaryota; Metazoa; Chordata; Mammalia; Artiodactyla; Camelidae. The record is from RNAcentral.
AGCAUCAGCAUCAUCAUCAUCAUCAUCAUCAUCAUCAUCAUUAUCAUUAUUAUUUUGUUGUGGAUGUGUGGAUGAGUGGAAGCGAUGUUA